This 117-nucleotide non-coding RNA is filed under the name Fictibacillus arsenicus. Its description in RNAcentral is "SAM-I sequence". It matches the Rfam family "SAM riboswitch aptamer (S box leader)". Rfam says of the family: The SAM riboswitch is found upstream of a number of genes which code for proteins involved in methionine or cysteine biosynthesis in Gram-positive bacteria. The SAM riboswitch acts at the level of transcription termination control. The predicted structure consists of a complex stem-loop region followed by a single stem loop terminator region. The record is from Rfam by way of RNAcentral. Lineage: Bacteria; Bacillati; Bacillota; Bacilli; Caryophanales; Fictibacillaceae.
CUCUUAUCCAGAGAGGCGGAGGGACUAGGCCCGAUGAAGCCCGGCAACCAACAAACCACAUUCGGUUUGGAAAGGUGCCAAUUCCUACAGAUCAUUUUUCGAUCUGACAGAUAAGAG